GCCCCACUGGCGCAAUGGCUAGCGCGUUUGACUUCUACUUAGGAGGCAUCAAGAGGUUGCGAGUUCGAGUCUCGCGUGGGGUU
Non-coding RNA from Poronia punctata, 83 nucleotides. Lineage: Eukaryota; Fungi; Ascomycota; Sordariomycetes; Xylariales; Xylariaceae. The record is from the annotation of a GenBank genome assembly.